Molecule: ribosomal RNA, 426 nt
Filed under: uncultured Pseudomonadota bacterium
Lineage: Bacteria; Pseudomonadati; Pseudomonadota
Description: bacterial SSU rRNA
Rfam family: Bacterial small subunit ribosomal RNA
Source: RNAcentral
GGGGAAUUUUGGACAAUGGGCGCAAGCCUGAUCCAGCAAUGCCGCGUGCAGGAUGAAGGCCUUCGGGUUGUAAACUGCUUUUGUACGGAACGAAAAGCCUCUCUCUAAUACAGGGGGGUGAUGACGGUACCGUAAGAAUAAGCACCGGCUAACUACGUGCCAGCAGCCGCGGUAAUACGUAGGGUGCAAGCGUUAAUCGGAAUUACUGGGCGUAAAGCGUGCGCAGGCGGUUUUGUAAGACAGUGGUGAAAUCCCCGGGCUCAACCUGGGAACUGCAUCCAUAACUGCCUGACUAGAGUACGGUAGAGGGUGGUGGAAUUUCCUGUGUAGCGGUGAAAUGCGUAGAUAUAGGAAGGAACACCAGUGGCGAAGGCGACCACCUGGACUGAUACUGACACUGAGGUGCGAAAGCGUGGGGAGCAAACA